UACGGGAGGCAGCAGGGGGAAUAUUGCACAAUGGGCGAAAGCCUGAUGCAGCUAUGCCGCGUGUAUGAAGAAGGCCUUAGGGUUGUAAAGUACUUUCAUCGGGGAGGAAAAACAAAACUAAUAAUUUUAUUUCUUGACGUUACCCGAAAAAGAAGCACCGGCUAACUCCGUGCCAGCAGCCGCGGUAAUACGGAGGGUGCUAGCGUUAAUCAGAAUUACUGGGCGUAAAGAGCACGUAGGUGGUUUUUUUAAGUCAGAUGUGAAAUCCCUGGGCUUAACCUAGGAACUGCAUUUUGAAACUGAAAUACUAGAGUAUCGUAGAGGGAGGUAGAAUUCUAGGUGUAGCGGUGAAAUGCGUAGAUAUCUGGAGGAAUACCUGUGGCGAAAGCGGCCUCCUAAACGAAUACUGACACUGAGGUGCGAAAGCGUGGGGAGCAAACAGGGAUUAGAUA
This 452-nucleotide ribosomal RNA is filed under the name uncultured bacterium. RNAcentral describes it as "bacterial SSU rRNA". It matches the Rfam family "Bacterial small subunit ribosomal RNA", at positions 340 to 784 of the family's 1533-position model. The record is from RNAcentral.